GAUGAACGCUGGCGGCGUGCCUAACACAUGCAAGUCGAACGGAGUCCAGCCUUUAAGACCUUCGGGUCAAAGAGGGGAAGACUGAGUGGCGGACGGGUGAGUAACACGUGGGCAACCUGGCUCAUAGAGGGGGAUAACAGAGAGAAAUUUCUGCUAAUACCGCAUAAGCACACACUGCCGCAUGGCAGAGGGUGAAAAGAGAAUCGCUAUGAUAUGGACCCGCGUCUGAUUAGCCAGUUGGCAGGGUAAGAGCCUACCAAAGCGACGAUCAGUAGCCGAUCUGAGAGGAUGAACGGCCACAUUGGGACUGAGACACGGCACAAACUCCUACGGGAGGCAGCAGUGGGGGAUAUUGCACAAUGGGGGGAACCCUGAUGCAGCGACGCCGCGUGAGUGAAGAAGUAUUUCGGUAUGUAAAGCUCUAUCAGCAGGGAAGAUAAUGACAGUACCUGAAUAAGAAGCCCCGGCUAACUACGUG
RNAcentral lists this ribosomal RNA (478 nucleotides) under uncultured bacterium. Its description in RNAcentral is "partial 16S ribosomal RNA". It matches the Rfam family "Bacterial small subunit ribosomal RNA", at positions 28 to 507 of the family's 1533-position model. The record is from RNAcentral.